Molecule: ribosomal RNA, 459 nt
Filed under: Felimare porterae
Lineage: Eukaryota; Metazoa; Mollusca; Gastropoda; Nudibranchia; Chromodorididae
Description: partial 16S ribosomal RNA
Rfam family: Bacterial large subunit ribosomal RNA
Source: RNAcentral
AGCUUUAGGAAAAUCAUCUAAAGUUAAACCUGCCCAGUGUUAAUAUUUUAAGAAUAAAUGGCCGCGGUACCUUGACCGUGCUAAGGUAGCGCAAUCAAUUGGCUCCUAAUUAGGGUCAGGAAUGAAUGGAGUUACGUAGUUCAGCUGUCUCCUUUUUAAUUACUUGAAAUUACUAUAUAAGUGAAAAAGCUUAUUCUAAGAAAAAAGACGAGAAGACCCUUAGAGUUUUACUUAAAAUAAUGAGCCUUGUGUCAUUAUAAUGGUUUUGUUGGGGCAACACAGGAGCAAGAAAAACAUAAAUAAUCUCCUAAAUUAUACUAACCGAUUCUCUUAAAAGUGUAUAAACUACCUUAGGGAUAACAGCAUUAUGUAAAAAAUAAGUUUGUGACCUCGAUGUUGGACUGGGAAACUUAAAGGCUAGCCGUCUUUUAGGAAAGUUCUGUUCGAACUACUAUUCCC